GCCCAGCGCAGCGCGCGGUGCAGCGCGACCCGCCGGGACCCGCUGGCGACCUGCGGCGGCGCCGAUCCGCGGCGGGGGGCGCCGGGAGCUUGGCGGGAGAGGCAAGGCCCAGCCUGGAAAUUACUUCCUUGACAAACGAGUCAGCUGCAGACUUGUCGGGGUGUAGGAGUCGCGAGCGGAGAAAGGUUCUCCUAGCAGAAGGUUGGGGAUGGGGAAUCCUGGAGCUUCGUCCUUAUCAGAAAUGGGCAAUUAGCGACGUCUGUAAACAAACCCCGAAAAGAGUUUAGAAGAGGACAGUUUUCAAACUCCGAGAACUUAGGAAGUUUCUGGGACGUGAAAUGAAGAAAACUUUAAUAACCAUAGAGAUGGUACCAGAAGCCAAGUGAGAAAAGUACCAGAUUGAAACUGAAACUAUUGGGAAAUUGUUGCAAAUUGAAAACUCGGAGCACGCGAGCAAACACUUUAGAUUUGGGAGGGGGAGGGAAUGUGAAUGAGGGAGGGGGCUAACUAAUUCACGGCUGGGUUGAAAAAGUAGAGCGUUUAUUCCCCAUGGGUCUCCUGACCAUUGUAGAUGUUUAGUAACACAAAAAAAGAGUAGGUCAUCGUGUAGAAAACUUUCAAUGCUUUGGUGGAGGAAAGAAUGAGGAAUCUGGGAAUAGGAAGUUAUUUGCACGAUGUUUGGCUGGCACUUGAAUACUUUUGUUUUUGUAAAAAGGAGGAGUCAUUUGGAAUGGUCAUAGGUAUUGAGGACCCCUUCAUGCUAAGGGAUUCCGCAGGCAUUUCCUAUUCUGUCCUCAGAACUACCCUACCAAGCUGGCAUUCUUAGCAUCGUGUGGCCACUUUAGAUCGUGUGGUUCAAAAGCUGAAAUUUGCAGAGAUCGAGUUGCCUCAGCUCACACAGGCAGAGAUCAGUGGCAGAAUCUGAACCCUGGCAGGCCCAUACCGAGCAAGCCCUCUUACCCACUGCCGCCUUACCAGGAAUCAGUGUUUUAGAAAAAGAGUGUUCUUUUAUUAUCUGCCCUGAAUAAUGCAGAGGCUGUAAAUUGGUUGCUUAGAGCUCCAUGACUUUCUAGAAGUGCUUGGUUUGGUUCUCCGUAUUGGUCUACCAGAUGUCUUGUGAAAAUUCGAAUUGGUUUUCCAACAUUUAAAAAUGGAGAGAUUACAUUAAAAGUCCAGAUUUCUGGCUUCCUUUAGGAAAUCAUUAGUUCCUGACAACGCAGGAUCCGUUUUCCUAAAGAGCAGAGCGGGCUGGAGGCUGCCAUUCCCCGUAGAGAGACAUUGGGCGGGGUCACUCAGGUUGGCCACGCUCCCUGCUGUUUGUUUUUCUCAUUUACUUGAUCUGGCCCCAGUAGGCAUUUGAACUUGUUUGUUUACCUUAAGUCACUCAAUCAACACAAACCUGCAGGUUUUUAUUUGUGGCUUGGUCCUGCAGAAAUGUAGACAAUGCUAUAAGCAUGGAACAAAACUACUCUUGAAUUUAAACAAUUUGGUUUUGAGUGUGAUGAACACCCAGGGAUAAGAAUACACAAAAUUCAGGAGUUAACCACCACAUGUCACAGGAAGCCCAAGAGAGAUGCAGCUUAUCUUGAACCUGGUAGCCCCCCAAAAUUCUCAAGGCUCUUUUUGACUGACACCGUUGGAUCCCUGAUUAGAUAAAUUAGUAAACUUCUCAUCAACUCCUGCACCCUGAGAUGCAGUAUAGACAUUCAACAAAAGAAAAACACAUUACAUCAUGUUUACUACAAAGGGUGUGUCAAUCUUGACCUCUAACAUUAUCAUUAUAAGAGGUUGUUGGCCACGUGACCCAUACUAGAUACGAAUUUUAGGCAAGUUGUGACUUAGGGAACUGCAAAUUCAACUUGCUGGAAGGAAAAGGGGAGGGUGGGCUUCAGAAAUGGGCCCAAAUCAGACAUUUAUGGGGGACUUGUGAAGAUUUUAGAUUUUAGAUGGUCCAUAAACUCUUCCUCUGGUCUAACAUUCUAUUAAGAGAAUUAAGAGCUGUGUGUGAAAAGGCUUUCUAUUCUAAACUGUUUACCUUUCUGGAAAAGUUAUGUAUCAUUUAAUGAGAACCUGCACUGUAAGAAAUAGAAUCAUGGGAUAUUUGGACCCAGGGGCUGACAAAAUAAUGAAUCCUCAAUUAUCUGUUUUUUAAAAAAGGACUGGUGAAGACAAUUUUUUAAACUAUUACCAGGUUUUAGUUUUCAUGGACAAGUUCAGAAAUAACAGUGUAAAUUUGGCCAGGCCUGUGUUGUCACUUGGAAUUUUUUUUUUUAAUUACUAAAAAAAAAAAAAAAAAAAGUAAACAUGAUUGCUAAUAGAAUAGUCAUCCAUCUAUUUCAUGCAGAAAAUAGGAUUUGACAGGAAAACAAGAGGAUAUGAGAGAUGAAUGAGGGUGGAAUUUUAAGGAAACCUAUGACAAAAUGUAUAGGCUAUAGGCCUGUGUCUGUUGAUUCUGUUAAAAAGAGACUGUUUUUUUUCCUGUAUGGCAUAUGUGUUAACACAAAAUCAGCCUGAUGCACUGAUCACUUAAAUCUCUGUUUUAAGACCAACACUGUGCUGGAUUCUGAGGAGACAGUGCUUCCUACCCGCAUGGAAACUACUUCAAAGAGACCAGCCCCACACAAAUUCAAUGUGCAGAAGAAUCACUUGAGGGUCUAAUUCAAAUGCGCAUCUGAUUGUGGACCUCUGGCUGGGUUUGAGAUUCUGCCUCUUAGACUCUGGUGAUGCUCAUGCCUUUGGGCCCUAAGUACCAGCCUGAGUAGUAAGUCUAGACUUUAAUACAGGUAAGUACACAGCCAGGUGCAAGAAGAUGUGCAUCAUGGUUGUACCAGGGAAAUUAUAGCAGACUGUGGGACCACUUGGAGGGCAACUGAGCAGGAAAGGCAGCUCCAAAGAGAUACAAGGUGUGAAUAGGAGUUGGCUGAGCAAUGAGGUCAAAAGGAAGAAAUACGUUCCAUGCAGAGACUGAAGAGCAGGCAGAGGGGGAGUGGGGAGAGAAGCCACCUGAGGAGUUCUGAGGAGUUUUCCCAUGAUUUCACAGACUUCAUGGGGCACACAUGGGGCAGACAUCACAGGGGGCAUCACUGAAGGUUUUAAGCACAUGAGUGAUGUGACCAAAUUUUAGAAGGUUCACUCUGGCAGCAAUGUGCCUAGCAGAAUCAAGUCAAGACCCAAGACAGUGUGACUGGUCAAGAUAUAUGUUAUGGUAAUUUUCAUAUAAGAUGCUAGUGUCAGCAAAGACAGUCCCUGUUUCAACCCUGUCUUUAUUAAAAUUCCUGUAUAUCCUGGAAUUCCCAUUGUGACCCAGAGGAUUAAAAACCUGACA
RNAcentral lists this long non-coding RNA (3325 nucleotides) under Sus scrofa (pig). RNAcentral's name for it is "lncRNA (ENSSSCG00000056416.1)". The record is from RNAcentral. Lineage: Eukaryota; Metazoa; Chordata; Mammalia; Artiodactyla; Suidae.